AGUGCUGCUGCUGCUGUUGCGAAGGCGACGGCUGCACGCAAACUGGAGCGUGGCGGCGAGUCCAUCGUUUGCCUCCGACCGAAUGAAGUUCAGCAUCUUUAUUUAGACUGCAGGAAAUCCGAUGAGACCACAAAGCUCUUUUCUUCCACAGGUGUCCAGAAUGACCCGGAAGUCGCCCAGAUCUCGUCAUAUCUCGGGCCGCAAGGCGACGGUCAAGCCAGGAUCUGGUGCCAGCAUGAGAGCCAAUUGAAAACGUGGGGGGACCGGACGGAAUCGACGGAUGGAGCCAAAGGGGACCAUCGACGCCUUUAAUUAGCGCGAGUUGGAAAGCUUUCGAAAUUAGACGACGGUAAGAAAACAAAAACGAUGUCUCUCAAAUCGAACUCUGACCCUACACCCCCCUCCCCACCUCUCCGAAUCGCCGCGA
This is a long non-coding RNA of Petromyzon marinus (sea lamprey), 427 nucleotides long. RefSeq lists it as uncharacterized. The record is from RefSeq and is a predicted model, not a curated record. NCBI's taxonomy places the organism in Eukaryota, Metazoa, Chordata, Hyperoartia, Petromyzontiformes, Petromyzontidae.